This 1154-nucleotide long non-coding RNA is filed under the name Chelonoidis abingdonii (Abingdon island giant tortoise). RNAcentral's name for it is "lncRNA (ENSCABG00000007035.1)". Lineage: Eukaryota; Metazoa; Chordata; Testudines; Testudinidae. The record is from RNAcentral.
AUUACUGUUAUUCAGCGUAUUGGUGGUGUUACUCUGAGGGCUGUUUCUCAGGGUACCGGUACUCAGAGGGCUGUUAUUCAGCGUAUUGGUGGUGUUACUCUGAGGGCUGUUUCUCAAGGUACCGGUACUCAGAGGGCUGUUAUUUGGGGUAUUGGUGGUGUUACUCUGAGGGCUGUUUCUCAGGGUACUGGUACUCAGAGGGCUGUUAUUCAGCGUAUUGGUGGUGUUACUCUGAGGGCUGUUUCUCAGGGUACCGGUACUCAGAGGGCUGUUAUUUGGGGUAUUGGUGGUGUUACUCUGAGGGCUGUUUCUCAGGGUACCGGUACUCAGAGGGCUGUUAUUUGGGGUAUUGGUGGUGUUACUCUGAGGGCUGUUUCUCAGGGUACCGGUACUCAGAGGGCUGUUACUUGGGGUAUUGGUGGUGUUACUCUGAGGGCUGUUUCUCAGGGUACUGGUACUCAGAGGGCUGUUACUUGGGGUAUUGGUGGUGUUACUCUGAGGGCUGUUUCUCAGGGUACCGGUACUCAGAGGGCUGUUAUUCAGCGUAUUGGUGGUGUUACUCUGAGGGCUGUUUCUCAGGGUACCGGUACUCAGAGGGCUGUUACUUGGGGUAUUGGUGGUGUUACUCUGAGGGCUGUUUCUCAGGGUACUGGUGCUCAGAGGGCUGUUACUUGGGGUAUUGGGGUGUCUGCGUCUCUCCAGCACCUGCUGACAGGGCAGCGCAGCGUGUGGGGGAGGCGAGGCUGGCGAAAGCAAAUUAACCGAGGAUUCCCGGAGGUGGCUGCCCACACAGCCGCAGACACAGAGACACUGCGUUGCCACUCACACACCCGCCUUGCCUUCCCUCUCCAUGCACACCUCUCUGGAAUCACGUAUCAACCCAGUGGGCUGGAUUCCAGACGGGGCUGGGGGUGCAUGAAUACACACCUCUGUGGGUGCAUGUGUGUGAAUACACACCUCUGUGUGUGUGAAUACACACCUGUGUGUGCAUGUGUGUGAAUACACGCCUCUGUGUGUGUGUGAAUACACACCUAUGUAUGUGCAUGUAUACAUGCUUCUGUGUAUGCCUGUGUGUGAAUACAUGCCUCCGUGUGUGCAUGUGUGAAUACACACCUACGUGUGUGCGUAAAUACACAAAUCCCUGUGUGUGCAUG